GCGGGAGUGGUGGAAUUGGUAGACACGCAGGAUUUAGGUUCCUGUGCCUUCGUGUGUGUGGGUUCGAGUCCCACCUUCCGCA
RNAcentral lists this transfer RNA (82 nucleotides) under Microbacterium sp. H1-D42. RNAcentral's name for it is "tRNA-Leu". It matches the Rfam family "tRNA". Rfam says of the family: Transfer RNA (tRNA) molecules are approximately 80 nucleotides in length. Their secondary structure includes four short double-helical elements and three loops (D, anti-codon, and T loops). Further hydrogen bonds mediate the characteristic L-shaped molecular structure. tRNAs have two regions of fundamental functional importance: the anti-codon, which is responsible for specific mRNA codon recognition, and the 3' end, to which the tRNAs corresponding amino acid is attached (by aminoacyl-tRNA synthetases). tRNAs cope with the degeneracy of the genetic code in two manners: having more than one tRNA (with a specific anti-codon) for a particular amino acid; and 'wobble' base-pairing, i.e. permitting non-standard base-pairing at the 3rd anti-codon position. The record is from RNAcentral. Lineage: Bacteria; Bacillati; Actinomycetota; Actinomycetes; Micrococcales; Microbacteriaceae.